UCCCGGCUAGCUCAGUUGGUAGAGCGUCAGACUCUUAAGGAGUUUCUUCGGUUGCGAAGAUGAAAUCUGAAUGUCGUGGGUUCGAGCCCCACGUUGGGAG
This 100-nucleotide transfer RNA is filed under the name Tilletia horrida. RNAcentral's name for it is "tRNA-Lys". It matches the Rfam family "tRNA". From Rfam's summary of the family: Transfer RNA (tRNA) molecules are approximately 80 nucleotides in length. Their secondary structure includes four short double-helical elements and three loops (D, anti-codon, and T loops). The record is from RNAcentral. Lineage: Eukaryota; Fungi; Basidiomycota; Exobasidiomycetes; Tilletiales; Tilletiaceae.